Molecule: ribosomal RNA, 330 nt
Filed under: uncultured eukaryote
Lineage: Eukaryota
Description: partial 18S ribosomal RNA
Rfam family: Eukaryotic small subunit ribosomal RNA
Source: RNAcentral
CCCUUAGAUGUUCUGGGCCGCACGUGCGCUACACUGAUGCAUUCAACGAGUCUAAAACCUGGUCUGAUAGGGCUGGGUAAUCUUUUGAAUGUGCAUCGUGAUUGGGAUAGAUGAUUGCAAUUCUUCAUCUUCAACGAGGAAUGCCUAGUAAACGCAAGUCAUCAGCUUGCAUUGAUUACGUCCCUGCCCUUUGUACACACCGCCCGUCGCUCCUACCGAUUGAAUGUUCCGAUGAAUACCAUGGACUGAGAGUAUGAAUGGGUUCGCCUAUUUCUGCUUCUCGGGAAGUGGAGUAAAUCUUAACAUUUAGAGGAAGGAGAAGUCGUAACA